Gambusia affinis (western mosquitofish) is the source of this 215-nucleotide long non-coding RNA. RefSeq lists it as uncharacterized. The transcript has 2 exons. Lineage: Eukaryota; Metazoa; Chordata; Actinopteri; Cyprinodontiformes; Poeciliidae. The record is from RefSeq and is a predicted model, not a curated record.
CCUAGUAUCCUAGCACAACUCUCCUCUGUCAUGAGCACAGCGCUGGCAAGGGUUACACCUUUGCCACCUACAGUGACGGUGGUGAGACAGCAGCCAGCAGGAAGGGAUGUGGUGUUCUUGCUGGAUGGAUCUGACGGCACCAGAACUGGCUUCCCAGCAAUGCGAGACUUUGUCCAAAGGGUAGUAGAGACACUCAGUGUAGAUGACAACAAAGA